AAACUGGGUCUAAUACCGGAUAGGAGCGUCCACCGCAUGGUGGGUGUUGGAAAGAUUUAUCGGUUUUGGAUGGACUCGCGGCCUAUCAGCUUGUUGGUGAGGUAAUGGCUCACCAAGGCGACGACGGGUAGCCGGCCUGAGAGGGUGACCGGCCACACUGGGACUGAGACACGGCCCAGACUCCUACGGGAGGCAGCAGUGGGGAAUAUUGCACAAUGGGCGCAAGCCUGAUGCAGCGACGCCGCGUGAGGGAUGACGGCCUUCGGGUUGUAAACCUCUUUCAGUAGGGAAGAAGCGAAAGUGACGGUACCUGCAGAAGAAGCACCGGCUAACUACGUGCCAGCAGCCGCGGUAAUACGUAGGGUGCGAGCGUUAUCCGGAAUUAUUGGGCGUAAAGAGCUCGUAGGCGGUUUGUCGCGUCUGUCGUGAAAGUCCGGGGCUUAACCCCGGAUCUGCGGUGGGUACGGGCAGACUAGAGUGCAGUAGGGGAGACUGGAAUUCCUGGUGUAGCGGUGGAAUGCGCAGAUAUCAGGAGGAACACCGAUGGCGAAGGCAGGUCUCUGGGCUGUAACUGACGCUGAGGAGCGAAAGCAUGGGGAGCGAACAGGAUUAGAUACCCUGGUAGUCCAUGCCGUAAACGUUGGGCACUAGGUGUGGGGACCAUUCCACGGUUUCCGCGCCGCAGCUAACGCAUUAAGUGCCCCGCCUGGGGAGUACGGCCGCAAGGCUAAAACUCAAAGGAAUUGACGGGGGCCCCGCACAAGCGGCGGAGCAUGCGGAUUAAUUC
Molecule: ribosomal RNA, 787 nt
Filed under: Bacterium PE_IPC15A
Lineage: Bacteria
Description: bacterial SSU rRNA
Rfam family: Bacterial small subunit ribosomal RNA
Source: RNAcentral